UGUCAGAUCAUUUCAAGCUCUUCUGUGUCGAGCUGAGGAGCUGCUCUGUGCCCGGCUUACAGAACUGGAAGGGGGAGCCACCUUCCGCCUGAUGGAGGCUGGAGAACGGAUGGAACCUGGAUCCCUGGAGCCUGGGACACUACCUCGCUGCGGUUGGUGGUGGCCACAGACCAGUAGGAGGGCGGCUGGCAGCGGGAGCUUCUUCUGCCGGGCUGGAGGACUAGGAGAAGGGAGAGGGAACGCCACAUGCUGGAGGCUGGAGCCUGUGCCACCGUGGCUCACCUCGAUGUGGUUGGUGGCAGCUCGCCUUGCUGUGGUUGGUGGUGACGUCGGAGACUGCAGCUCGGCCACAGUGGUAGAAAUGUGUUGGGGUAGCUUUUGCUGUGUUGGGCACUUGCUCCCAUCUGCUUGCUUCUCUAGAAUCCACUGCCCUAGAAUGAGUAAUUUUUCUUAGAAGCAGAGUUGGAACCACUGAGGAAGCACAGGACCACCAGAACAACCCCAUCAUGGCCCUGUCACCAGGCCCAGUUUGGCUCCAUGAUAACCAAGACGCAGGUCCAGAGACAACCGCCCUGCUUGAUGCCUGCAUCUGACCUCCCUUGGUGGGUAGUGAUGAGCACAACAUGGAAGAAGCCAGGGCAGCUUGUGGCCAGCUGCCCUACAGCCCCAGAUGGCUGGGGACUAGGAUUCCAAAAGGAUGAUUUUGGAGCUGUAGGAUUGAAUGACUGGCCUGCUGGGUUUUGGAUGUUCGUGUAUCCUAUGAGUCCCAUCGGUGUUUGUUUUUCUUUCAGGCAAUUUUUCUUCUAUUGGCUGGGAAUGCUUACCCAUUGCCUGUACAAUCAUUGUACCUUGGAAGUAGUUAACUUGCUUUAUAAUUCAGAGGCUCAUGGGCAGAAGGGACUGUAUCCUUGUCCCAGAUAAAACUUUGGGCUUUGGACAUUUGCUGGAAUGAGUUAAGAUUUGGGGGACUGUAGGGAAGUCAUCAUUGUAUUUUGCAACGUGAGAAAGACAUACGAGAUUUGCAUGGGCAGGGACAGAAUAAUAUGACUUGGCUCUGUGUCCCACUGCUGUGAAAUUGUAACGGGAAAUGUUAAAGGUGGUGGGGGCUGGUGGAAGGUGAUUUAAUCAUGGUGGAGAGUGGAGGUUGGAAGGUGGGGGUGGUGGGGAGAAUUGGGGGGAAUUAUGGUGGGGUUGGGGGUGAAAGGCAGGGGUGGGGGUGAUCCUUCACAAGUAAUUAAACACCAUCUCCUUAAUGCUGUCCUUCUGAUAGUUCUCUUCAUAAUUUCGUAGCUGUGAGAUUGAAUACUGGUCUGCUGGGUUUUGGAUGUGCAUUGGGCCUGUGGUCCCAUUUGUGUUAUUUUUCUGGGAAAUUUCUUCCCUUUGGAUUAAGAAAGCUUACCCAAUGCCUGUACCAUCAUUGUACCUUGAAAGAAAAGAACUCCAUUUUAACUUCAGGGACUCAUAGGUAGAAGAUACUGUAUAGCCUUGUCUCGGAUGAGACUUUGAACUUCUUAUAGUUGAGUUGAUGCUGGAAUGAGUUAAGGCUUUUGGAAACUUUUGAAAAGGCAUGAUUGUGUUUUACCCUGUGAGAAGGACAUGAGAUUCGGAAGGGUCAAGGUCGGAAUAAUAUGGUUUGGCUGUGUUUUGCUAGAAAAACUCAUGUGGAAUUGUAAUCCCGAAUUUUGGUUGUGAAGCCUGGUGGGAGGUGAUUUAAUCAUG
This 1719-nucleotide long non-coding RNA is filed under the name Homo sapiens (human). The record is from RNAcentral. Lineage: Eukaryota; Metazoa; Chordata; Mammalia; Primates; Hominidae.